RNAcentral lists this ribosomal RNA (468 nucleotides) under uncultured bacterium. Its description in RNAcentral is "partial 16S ribosomal RNA". It matches the Rfam family "Bacterial small subunit ribosomal RNA", at positions 28 to 507 of the family's 1533-position model. The record is from RNAcentral.
GACGAACGCUGGCGGCGUGCUUAACACAUGCAAGUCGAACGGAAAGGCCCUGCUUUUGUGGGGUGCUCGAGUGGCGAACGGGUGAGUAACACGUGAGUAACCUGCCCUUGACUUUGGGAUAACUUCAGGAAACUGGGGCUAAUACCGGAUAGGAGCUCCUGCUGCAUGGUGGGGGUUGGAAAGUUUCGGCGGUUGGGGAUGGACUCGCGGCUUAUCAGCUUGUUGGUGGGGUAGUGGCUUACCAAGGCUUUGACGGGUAGCCGGCCUGAGAGGGUGACCGGCCACAUUGGGACUGCGGGACGGCCCAGACUGCUACGGGAGGCAGCAGUGGCGAACCUUGCACACUGGGCGGAAGCCUGAUGCAGCACCGCCGCGUGCGGGAUGACGGCCUUCGGGUUGUAAACCGCUUUCGCCUGUGACGAAGCGUGAGUGACGGUAAUGGGUAAAGAAGCACCGGCUAACUACGUG